Molecule: ribosomal RNA, 253 nt
Filed under: uncultured bacterium
Lineage: Bacteria
Description: partial 16S ribosomal RNA
Rfam family: Bacterial small subunit ribosomal RNA
Source: RNAcentral
UACGUAGGGUGCGAGCGUUGUCCGGAAUUAUUGGGCGUAAAGAGCUCGUAGGCGGUCUGUCGCGUCUGCUGUGAAAUCCCGAGGCUCAACCUCGGGCUUGCAGUGGGUACGGGCGAGGCUAGAGUGCGGUAGGGGAGAAUGGAACUCCUGGUGUAGCGGUGGAAUGCGCAGAUAUCAGGAAGAACACCGAUGGCGAAGGCAGUUCUCUGGCCGUAACUGACGCUGAGGAGCGAAAGCGUGGGGAGCGAACAGG